AUCGAGCUUGGUUGCGCGGGCUUGUAACCCAAGUGGGGGUAUUAAGGUGGUGUGGAUGUUUGGGUGUGGACUCUGGGCUUGGGUCUAUUGUGUGCCCUUGCUGGCCUUGCCUGCUCCAAGUUGGUAGUGGCCUGUUCGGCCCAAGCAAAAGCUCGGGCUUCACUGGACCUGAAGUGGUAGGAAUGGCGUGAGGCUGGGUUCACAGAGCAGCGAUCACUGCCCGCUUCCAACGGUGGAAGGAUAACAGGCCGCUACAUCACGGGCCCGACUUGGACCCCGAGGAGCUAGCGGCGAGGAUCG
Molecule: signal recognition particle RNA, 300 nt
Filed under: Setaria italica (foxtail millet)
Lineage: Eukaryota; Viridiplantae; Streptophyta; Magnoliopsida; Poales; Poaceae
Description: Plant signal recognition particle RNA
Rfam family: Plant signal recognition particle RNA
Source: Rfam by way of RNAcentral